Molecule: transfer RNA, 174 nt
Filed under: Chitinophaga eiseniae
Lineage: Bacteria; Pseudomonadati; Bacteroidota; Chitinophagia; Chitinophagales; Chitinophagaceae
Description: tRNA-Leu
Source: RNAcentral
GACCCGGUAGCUUAAAGGGAUAAAGCUGCGGAAAAAUUACGUCGCCGCGGAGUGUAUGGAACAUAUCGUUGCAGACAUGCUUUGCAAUGAUCAGAAUUUACAGUGCACCGAAAUCAUAGUAGGGAAGCGUAUUUACAGCCCAUGAAAAUGCAGGUUCGAAUCCUGUCCGGGUUA